CAGCAGCCACGGGAAUACGUAGGGUGCGAGCGUUAAUCGGAAUUACUGGGCGUAAAGCGUGCGCAGGCGGCUUUGCAAGACAGAUGUGAAAUCCCCGGGCUCAACCUGGGAACUGCAUUUGUGACUGCAAGGCUAGAGUGCGGCAGAGGGAGAUGGAAUUCCACGUGUAGCGGUGAAAUGCGUUGAGAUCGGAAAGAACACCAACGGCGAAAGCACUCUGCUGGGCCGACACUGACACUGAGAGACGAAAGCUAGGGGAGCAAAUGGGAUUAGAUACCCCCGUAGUCCCUGUCUCUUAUAC
This 301-nucleotide ribosomal RNA is filed under the name uncultured bacterium. RNAcentral's name for it is "partial 16S ribosomal RNA". It matches the Rfam family "Bacterial small subunit ribosomal RNA", at positions 509 to 807 of the family's 1533-position model. The record is from RNAcentral.